UUCGGGGAGCGGCAGGCUGCUCCUUCGGCGGGAAGGUCUAUGCCUUGGACGAGACGUGGCACCCGGACCUGGGGGAGCCCUUCGGGGUGAUGCGCUGCGUGCUGUGCGCCUGCGAGGCGCCUCAGUGGGGUCGCCGUACCAGGGGCCCUGGCAGGGUCAGCUGCAAGAACAUCAAACCAGAGUGCCCAACCCUGGCCUGUGGGCAGCCGCGCCAGCUGCCGGGACACUGCUGCCAGACCUGCCCCCAGGAGCGCAGCAGUUCGGAGCGGCAGCCGAGCGGCCUGUCCUUCGAGUAUCCGCGGGACCCGGAGCAUCGCAGUUAUAGCGACCGCGGAGAGCCAGGCGCUGAGGAGCGGGCCCGUGGUGACGGCCACACGGGUAGGGGGCUGGCGAACAGCGGGGUUGUGGUUGAGGCUGGGCCACCAAAGCGGCGUUUGACAGUGCUCAGGCCAUCUUCCUCCCGUCCCAGACUUCGUGGCGCUGCUGACAGGGCCGAGGUCGCA
Molecule: small RNA, 503 nt
Filed under: Pongo abelii (Sumatran orangutan)
Lineage: Eukaryota; Metazoa; Chordata; Mammalia; Primates; Hominidae
Description: retained intron
Source: RNAcentral